This is a long non-coding RNA of Onychostoma macrolepis, 2189 nucleotides long. RefSeq lists it as uncharacterized. The record is from RefSeq and is a predicted model, not a curated record. NCBI's taxonomy places the organism in Eukaryota, Metazoa, Chordata, Actinopteri, Cypriniformes, Cyprinidae. The transcript has 3 exons.
GUCUCCGUCUUGGGCUCCACAGCAAGCUCCGCUUCCAGGAUCUUCUCCACAGGCAUGUCUUCGUUUACACUGCUGGUCGACUCCACCUCAUUCUCGUUGCGGUCCUUGGCUCGCUGGCGCUCCUCCUGGACGGCUGCUUUAACAGAUCAGACAUUUGAUCACCUCAGAGAAACAGGAAGUGGUUAGUGUUGAACAGUCACUCAGUCUGACUGUGGCCAGAGCUGUAUUAACCACAAUCCAAGCCCCUGUGGUUAGAGUGCGUAUGUGCCGAGCACAGUUCAUCCAAAAGACUCCAAAACCAGUCCCUAUUCACAGCACAUUCAAACACACAAACACUAAACGUUCUCUUUUCCCUAACCCUUCAACUAUUUUCCUCAACCGCGAAUCACAGAGGCAUCGCGGUGGUGGAGGGGUUCUGAAACGGGGGGAUUCUGCUUUACGGAAAGUGCUGUCUGGAGGUCAGCCCAAGGGUAAAAUACUUCUCCAGGAGUCAGAGAGAGAUUCGCUCAGCUCUUUUUGGGACGAGCGUGGCCCAGCUCUCCUGUGCCUCGGGGUACAGCGCGAGCUUAUGGGAUACAGAAACAGUCGAACGCAAGCAAAUGAUCAUAUCCUUGAAAGAAGCCGCGAUGAUAUAAAUAAGGGAGACGAAAGGUUGCUCUAAGGUCAUAGACAGUGGGUGUGAGAGCGAGACGUCAUGUAUGUAUGAUCGCAGUGCUCUCUCUUCGUCUACAGGGGAGGGAUUUAUUCUCUCACAUGAAACAAGAGCUAGAGAUCUGGGAAAGGGACUGGAUCUUGGCUUUGCAAUCUAUAGCCAUAAUAAAUCAUUUAUGAAGCCAAACUUGUCUGACUGCUUGCAAAGACACUGACCUGAGUUCAGCUUAGUGUUGUUUUAAACCUUGUUUAAAUGUUUAAGCUUGGGGACAUAUCAUGAAUGAACUGUAUUAUAUAUAUAUAUAUUUGAGAAUUUGAAACUGAUCAUAAGUUGAUACAUAUAUAAAGAAAACUGACAAAAAAAAAAAGAAGCUUUAAACAGACAGAUAAUUUGAAACAUUCUUAUAAUUCUUAUUAUUUAUAUAAUUAUUGUACUUUAUUGUACAACUUUUUGCCCUCGUCAUUCAUGGCAUAUCUGGGAACAAAUAAUUAUUAGAUAAUUUUUUAUGAAACGAAUACUAAAAUAAUAGUUAAUAGUUGAUGUUUAUGUUUGUCUAAAUGUGGAAUUGUACAUAGCAGAUGGUUUAGUGGUUUUAGAGACACUAUGCUAAGAAAAAAACCCAAAAAAAACCAAACAAAUAAUGUGUGUAUACAUGUCUGUAUCUAAACAGGCAUGCAAUGCAUGCUACAAUAGGAGUUCCUUUGCUUCAAUCUUAAAAACACAAAACAUGUCUCUCCAGACAAAAUGAUUCUAAAAACAACACUGAAAAAUUCUGACAUCUCAGAAAUUCAAAAUUAUUCUCUCUGACUGAGGGGCAAAAUAUAGUCUCUCAGAUCAAUAUUCCACCAGCUGUGUGCUAAAAUCUUCUAUUAGCAUGCUUAAGCACUUUCACGUCUCCUUUUCUUCGGGACAAGUGUGCAAAAAGUGCUAAUGCCCUCUUUUCUUCAGCAUGACAACCCACCCCUCACCUCUUCCUCUCUUUCAUCUCUCUCUGCCUCAGGUGAUGAUUUGGGAAAAAAUAUGGUCUUCUAUAUUUAGCAACAAAAACCUAUUUGAGGAAAAAAAAAACACUCCACCUUGCAUCAACGAGCCAUUUCCUGUUUUCUCUCAGUAUCUUACGAGUACACUACCUGGAAUCUUGAGUACAGUUGUUGCUCAUCAUGUGCAGAAUAAACUCGUUGACCAUUAUCUCACCGUGAGCUGAUCUUCAGACUGAACAUCUAGCGAGCGCUAAUUAAGCGCUGACCUGCAGUCUGACUAUUUAAUGGCUGAUUGAAGUAAUAUGAAUGUUUCUUCUAGAGUCACACAGAGGUGAGAUUGUGUCUAAUAGCAAGUACAAAAAAACAUCUCGCCUCACGAUGGAAAGCUCAGGUCAGUCAGUGCAAAGAACGAUGGACUCCUUCAACCAAGUCCUUAAGUACUUCGGCUAACACAAAUGGAUGCUAAAGGGGUGUUUACACAGCAUUGGAAGUCAUUUAUUUUAAUGAGAGCUAGUGGAGCGAACAGUGCUAUAAAAUUUCAGAGGGAAAAAGCAAAA